Molecule: ribosomal RNA, 482 nt
Filed under: uncultured bacterium
Lineage: Bacteria
Description: partial 16S ribosomal RNA
Rfam family: Bacterial small subunit ribosomal RNA
Source: RNAcentral
UUGAACGCUGGCGGCAGGCCUAACACAUGCAAGUCGAGCGGAUGAAGGGAGCUUGCUCCUGGAUUCAGCGGCGGACGGGUGAGUAAUGCCUAGGAAUCUGCCUGGUAGUGGGGGAUAACGUCCGGAAACGGGCGCUAAUACCGCAUACGUCCUGAGGAGAAAGUGGGGGAACUUCGGAACUCACGCUAUCAGGUGAGCCUAGGUUGGAUUAGCUAGUUGGUGGGGUAAAGGCCUACCAAGGCGACGAUCCGUAACUGGUCUGAGAGGAUGAUCAGUCACACUGGAACUGAGACACGGUCCAGACUCCUACGGGAGGCAGCAGUGGGGAAUAUUGGACAAUGGGCGAAAGCCUGAUCCAGCCGUGCCGCGUGUGUGAAGAAGGUCUUCGGAUUGUAAAGCACUUUAAGUUGGGAGGAAGGGCAGUAAGUUAAUACCUUGCUGUUUUGACGUUACCAACAGAAUAAGCACCGGCUAACUUCGUG